Molecule: ribosomal RNA, 804 nt
Filed under: uncultured soil bacterium
Lineage: Bacteria
Description: bacterial SSU rRNA
Rfam family: Bacterial small subunit ribosomal RNA
Source: RNAcentral
AGAGUUUGAUCCUGGCUCAGAACGAACGCUGGCGGCGUGGAUAAGACAUGCAAGUCGAGCGCUGAUUUCGGGGUAGCAAUAUUCCGGAGUCGGAGCGGCGCAAGGGUGCGUAACACGUGGGUAAUCUGCCAUGAAGUUCGGGAUAACUUGCUGAAAGGCGAGCUAAUACCGGAUGUGACAACUGAGAGGCAUCUUUUGGUUGUUAAAGUUGGGGACCGUAAGGCCUGACGCUUCUUGAUGAACCCGCGGCCUAUCAGCUAGUUGGUGAGGUAACGGCCCACCAAGGCUAAGACGGGUAGCUGGUCUGAGAGGACGACCAGCCACACUGGAACUGAGACACGGUCCAGACACCUACGGGUGGCAGCAGUCGAGAAUUUUUCACAAUGGGCGCAAGCCUGAUGGAGCGACGCCGCGUGGGGGAUGAAUGGCUUCGGCCCGUAAACCCCUGUCAUUCGCGAUCAAACCUCAUUAUUUAAAAGAUGAUGAGCUGAUAGUAGCGGAAGAGGAAGGGACGGCUAACUCUGUGCCAGCAGCCGCGGUAAUACAGAGGUCCCAAGCGUUGUUCGGAUUCACUGGGCGUAAAGGGUGCGUAGGUGGUGAGGUAAGUCGGAUGUGAAAUCUCGGAGCUCAACUCCGAAAUGGCAUUGGAAACUACCUUGCUCGAGGGUUGGAGGGGGGACUGGAAUACUUGGUGUAGCAGUGAAAUGCGUAGAUAUCAAGUGGAACACCAGUGGCGAAAGGCGAGUCCCUGGACAACUCCUGACACUGAGGCACGAAAGCUAGGGGAGCAACAGGAUUAGAUAC